This 254-nucleotide ribosomal RNA is filed under the name uncultured bacterium. Its description in RNAcentral is "partial 16S ribosomal RNA". It matches the Rfam family "Bacterial small subunit ribosomal RNA", at positions 524 to 776 of the family's 1533-position model. The record is from RNAcentral.
UACGUAGGGGGCGAGCGUUGUCCGAAGUUACUGGGCGUAAAGCGCGCGUAGGCGGUCUUUUAAGUCUGGUGUGAAAGGUUCAGGGCUCAACCCGAACAGUGCACUGGAUACUGGGAGACUUGAGUGCGGGAGAGGAGAGUGGAAUUCCUGGUGUAGCGGUGAAAUGCGCAGAUAUCGGGAGGAACACCAAUGGCGAAGGCAGCUCGCUGGGACGGUACUGACGCUGAGACGCGAAAGCGUGGGGAGCAAACGGG